ACUCCAGCCUGUAUGUGGUUCUGUCCUACUUUUGUUUCAAAUAAUUACUGUCAAAAUUGAAAUUGUUUCUGUGAUUUCUGAUCCUUGUUUUAUAUUUGUCUAUUUUUUUUAUUUUUAAGAAACCAGUGAGUAGCUAAUGUAGACAAUGAUUUGAUUGAGUUGAUGUGAGUUCAUUUGACUAUUAAAGUUUUAAUUUAUUGAU
Molecule: non-coding RNA, 202 nt
Organism: Biomphalaria pfeifferi
Lineage: Eukaryota; Metazoa; Mollusca; Gastropoda; Planorbidae
Source: the annotation of a GenBank genome assembly